This is a long non-coding RNA of Passer domesticus (house sparrow), 892 nucleotides long. RefSeq lists it as uncharacterized. NCBI's taxonomy places the organism in Eukaryota, Metazoa, Chordata, Aves, Passeriformes, Passeridae. The transcript has 3 exons. The record is from RefSeq and is a predicted model, not a curated record.
CAUUGGGUUCCCUUGCAGUUGCAAAGGAGAUGCCUUGAAGUAUGAGAAUGUUAGGAUUUACGUAAGCUGAUCUCAUUACUGCAGGAGAUGGGCUGAUGAUCUCCAAGGGCAGUACAUGGCUAAAAAAUGUAAAAAGGCACUGAAGCAAUAGGAAAGCAGCAUCCUGGCUUUUCUAGUAGGAGUCAUAGAUUCUAGCAGAGAGUCAGUUAAGAGGAACAAGGAGGGCAGAACCUGAUCAGAACGUGCCAGUGUCUUUUCUCCCUGCCUGAUGGGAGGUGAGGCUGUGCACGGGACAGGAGAUGAUGGUGUCCUGCUCCAUCUGUACCUGCAGAUGCAGAGCCCAGGGAAGGGCUGCUCAGGGAACAGCUUCUGCCCUGGUUCUCUCUCCAAGCCUAUGGGAGGAUGUGAAAUCAAGGAGGCUUAAAAUCUCUCUGGUGCUUUGGAUGAUUGGUCAUCUGUAGAAAGGGGACCAGUUGAAGGUGAAAUGGCUGAGACAGUUGCAUCAAAACAUCCUCAGAGAAACAAACAGACCCCAAAUGUGAGCAUGGUCCUUUCCCCAACAACUCAUACGUGAUGUGCAGUCAUGAAAGGAAACAUUCCAGGAAAUCAAGGCAACAGGCAGGCUCACACUGAUAAUUGUCUGAGGACUUUGAGGAACACCUGCCUGGCAUGGCCAUAUUGUUCUUUGUGAAAAUGCUUAGGGUUACUAUAGACUCCACAGAGUUAGGUCUGCAACUUCAAAUGCCACAGGGGAAAUAACUCUUAUUCUUGGUGACCUUGCCACAAAUACUAAUUGAGAAGGCUAGUAAAUAAGAAGUUGAGAAAAAUCUCAGGAAGGGGAAGAGGUACAGCCAAAAUACCCUGUGCAUGUGUAAUUUAUGCAUAAAUUAAU